CGCCUCUUGCAAAACUAAUGAAUAAGAGGUCCCGCCUGCCCUGUGACUAUAUGUUCAACGGCCGCGGUAUUUUGACCGUGCGAAGGUAGCGUAAUCACUUGUCUUUUAAAUGAGGACCUGUAUGAAUGGCACAACGAGGGCUCAACUGUCUCCUCUUUCCAGUCAAUGAAAUUGAUCUUCCCGUGCAGAAGCGGAAAUAUCAACAUAAGACGAGAAGACCCUAUGGAGCUUUAGAUAAUAAGGCAGGCUGCGUUAAGCACCCUUGUAAAAAAGACCAAACUAGCUGAACACUGCCCGAAUGUCUUUGGUUGGGGCGACCACGGCGAAACAAAAACCCCCCGUGCGGAAAGAGGGAACCACCCUCCAAACCGAGAGCUCCCGCUCUAAUAAACAGAAUAUCUGACCUAUAAGAUCCGGCAACGCCGAUCAACGGACCAAGUUACCCUAGGGAUAACAGCGCAAUCCCCUUCUAGAGUUCAUAUCGACAAGGGGGCUUACGACCUCGAUGUUGGAUCAGGACAUCCUAAUGGUGCAGCCGCUAUUAAGGGUUCGUUUGUUCAACGAUUAAAGUCCU
RNAcentral lists this ribosomal RNA (574 nucleotides) under Heniochus varius (horned bannerfish). RNAcentral describes it as "partial 16S ribosomal RNA". It matches the Rfam family "Bacterial large subunit ribosomal RNA", at positions 1817 to 2597 of the family's 2925-position model. Lineage: Eukaryota; Metazoa; Chordata; Actinopteri; Chaetodontiformes; Chaetodontidae. The record is from RNAcentral.